RNAcentral lists this ribosomal RNA (423 nucleotides) under uncultured eukaryote. RNAcentral's name for it is "SSU rRNA". It matches the Rfam family "Eukaryotic small subunit ribosomal RNA", at positions 1212 to 1652 of the family's 1831-position model. The record is from RNAcentral.
AACUCAUCAGGGCAAGAAGAUUUUAGGAUUGACAGAUUGAGAGUUCUUUCUUGAUUGGUCUAGUGGUGGUGCAUGGCCGUUCUUAGUUGGUGGAGUGAUUUGUCUGGUUAAUUCCGUUAACGAACGAGACCUUAACCUGCUAACUAGUACUUUGAUUUUCAAUCGGAGUUACUUCUUAGAGGGACUAUGUGAUGUAAUCACAUGGAAGUUUGAGGCAAUAACAGGUCUGUGAUGCCCUUAGAUGUCCUGAGCUGCACGCGCGCUACAAUGACACAUUCAACGAGUAUUUCCUGACCCGAAAAGGGCUCGGGUAAUCUUUUAGUGUGUGUCGUGAUAGGGAUAGAUCUUUGUAAUUAUGGAUCUUGAACGAGGAAUUCCUAGUAAGCGCAUGUCAUCAGCAUGUGCUGAUUACGUCCUGCAAAU